ACGAACGCUGGCGGCAUGCCUAACACAUGCAAGUCGAACGAAUUCACCGACUUCGGUUGGUGAGUUAGUGGCGCACGGGUGCGUAACGCGUGGGAAUCUGCCCCUCGGUUCGGAAUAACAGUUAGAAAUGACUGCUAAUACCGGAUGAUGACGAAAGUCCAAAGAUUUAUCGCCGAGGGAUGAGCCCGCGUAGGAUUAGCUAGUUGGUAAGGUAAAAGCUUACCAAGGCGACGAUCCUUAGCUGGUCUGAGAGGAUGAUCAGCCACACUGGGACUGAGACACGGCCCAGACUCCUACGGGAGGCAGCAGUGGGGAAUAUUGGACAAUGGGCGAAAGCCUGAUCCAGCAAUGCCGCGUGAGUGAUGAAGGCCUUAGGGUUGUAAAGCUCUUUUACCAGGGAUGAUAAUGACAGUACCUGGAGAAUAAGCUCCGGCUAACUCCGU
This 443-nucleotide ribosomal RNA is filed under the name uncultured bacterium. RNAcentral's name for it is "bacterial SSU rRNA". It matches the Rfam family "Bacterial small subunit ribosomal RNA", at positions 29 to 506 of the family's 1533-position model. The record is from RNAcentral.